Oncorhynchus tshawytscha (Chinook salmon) is the source of this 575-nucleotide long non-coding RNA. The record is from Ensembl. NCBI's taxonomy places the organism in Eukaryota, Metazoa, Chordata, Actinopteri, Salmoniformes, Salmonidae.
GUCAAAUAGGGAAAUGGUCCCAAUCGUUUUUCCAUAGGGAAUUUAAGAAACACUUAACAUAUGGUCUGUGUUUCGUGUAGGCGUACCCUGGUGUGACCUUUUGAUAACCGUGUAAAUCUCUCUAGGACAAGGUGACUUUUAUCAAUAUAUUUACCUGCAAAAAAUGAAAUGUUAAUUAGCUGCUAAUGGGGCUAUCAUAAAGAACUGCAAAUACCAUGUGAUCUGGACAAGACUGCCAAAUCGAGGCAAUGACAUAUCAAAAGAUCUGAAUACGACCAGCUCUUGUGACUCUCACUGAUGCAACCUCUCUCCUCGUGACUUCAAACGGAACCUCCAGGUGGAGCACACACCUGGAAAAAGAGAAAUAACACCCUGUCUGUGUGUACUUUCACCACCAGAGAGAGCUAUUUGUCCAGGUUUUCUGUCCACUGAUCUCUUUCAGUGAGUAGAAUGUGACGUUGAUUUGCAGUGAGAGACUUAUGAUUGGGCCUGGUGUUAAUCCCUGGCAUAAGGGGGCUUGGCUGGAUUAGAAGCUGAUGUGGUAACAUCUGUAUGGCGGCUGGAUUAGCACGGAG